This 404-nucleotide ribosomal RNA is filed under the name uncultured bacterium. Its description in RNAcentral is "bacterial SSU rRNA". It matches the Rfam family "Bacterial small subunit ribosomal RNA", at positions 61 to 507 of the family's 1533-position model. The record is from RNAcentral.
GUCGUACGAGAGUUUUGAACUCAAGUGGCGGACGGGUGAGUAACACGUAAGAAUUUGCCUUUAGGAGGGGGACAACAACUGGAAACGGUUGCUAAUACCCCAUAUGCUUUCGAGUGAAACGGUUUUUCCGCCUAAAGAGAAGCUUGCGGCUGAUUAGCUUGUUGGUAAGGUAAUGGCUUACCAAGGCGACGAUCAGUAUCUGGUUUGAGAGGACGAUCAGACACACUGGAACUGAGACACGGUCCAGACUCCUACGGGAGGCAGCAGUGGGGAAUUUUCCGCAAUGGGCGAAAGCCUGACGGAGCAAUACCGCGUGAGGGAUGAAUGCCUAUGGGUUGUAAACCUCUUUUUUCAGGGAGGAAUCAAUGACGUUACCUGAAGAAUAAGCAUCGGCUAACUCCGUG